AGGAAGAUGAUGAAGAAGCUGGUUUGGUACCUUAUUUUGAUUUUUGUGCUUCUCUUCUCCUUCCAAUUUCCGCCAACAUCAGCUCGGCGACUUGGUGAUCACCCUUAUGUAAAUCCAUCAUCAGAACACAGCGAUUAUCACGAUUAUUGGCCACCCCAUGCCUAAGUGGGCGUACGGGCAGCGAUGGUGAGCUAAAGCUGA
This is a long non-coding RNA of Neltuma alba, 201 nucleotides long. RefSeq lists it as uncharacterized. NCBI's taxonomy places the organism in Eukaryota, Viridiplantae, Streptophyta, Magnoliopsida, Fabales, Fabaceae. The record is from RefSeq and is a predicted model, not a curated record. The transcript has 2 exons.